UUCAGAGUUCCUCCGGCAGCUGUUAUUUUUCUUCAAUGCACAAAAUAGUGAUGAUUUCACUAUCCUUGUGGAGACUUGCCGAUUGCUUCUGCAAAAUGUUCGAGAUAGUGGUAUUUCCAUAACUGUAAAACUUCUAAAAUGGAAACCUUACAUGUAUGUUUAUUUAUUUAUUUUCUAAAAAACACAAUGUCAAACCUUACAUGUAUGUUUAUUUAUUUAUUUUCUAAAAAACACAAUGUCAUCAACAAGGGAAGCUUGUCCAAUCAUAAGAUAUCCUCGUGUACAAAUUCAAACUUGUUUGAGUUGUACUUUCUCUAUGUAAGAAUGUCUCUGGAUUUGGCAUUUGUUGCAUUUCGAUUCUUGACAUGCUGAUUAUAUUUUGCUA
This 385-nucleotide long non-coding RNA is filed under the name Populus trichocarpa (black cottonwood). Its description in RNAcentral is "long non-coding RNA (PTRI_LNC002558)". Lineage: Eukaryota; Viridiplantae; Streptophyta; Magnoliopsida; Malpighiales; Salicaceae. The record is from RNAcentral.